UAUUAGCUUGGUGCAAAAGUAAUUGAGGUUUUUGCCAUUGAGAGUAAUGGCAAAAACUGCAAUUACUUUUGCACCAAACUAAUA
This 84-nucleotide microRNA precursor is filed under the name Papio anubis (olive baboon). RNAcentral describes it as "mir-548 microRNA precursor family". It matches the Rfam family "mir-548 microRNA precursor family". Lineage: Eukaryota; Metazoa; Chordata; Mammalia; Primates; Cercopithecidae. The record is from Rfam by way of RNAcentral.